Neofelis nebulosa (Clouded leopard) is the source of this 4741-nucleotide long non-coding RNA. RefSeq lists it as uncharacterized. NCBI's taxonomy places the organism in Eukaryota, Metazoa, Chordata, Mammalia, Carnivora, Felidae. The record is from RefSeq and is a predicted model, not a curated record. The transcript is spliced from 3 exons.
AACCCUUGUGUGAAGAGUGCUGGGGACUGAUUUUUAUAAAGCCCUCUCCUGACCCGGACCAGUUCCAUUCCUCCUACUGGAGCUUCGCAGAGCCCUGAUGGGGUACAGUUCCUCGCGUUGUGCAGCGGCGAAACUGACUCUUAGAAAGGUUGAGGAACUUGCCCAGGGUCACACAGCUGGGGAGUGGUCGAGCUAGGAUUUUAACCCAAGUCGUCCGGCCUCCAAAAGCCAGAUUCUCUCCGACGUUAGCGCCGCGCCCCCAGGGCGGAGGACUGCGUUCCCUAACACCGCAGACACAAGGUGCCUUGGGUGUGAUUGAAAGACGCGAACGCGGGCCACCCAUCUCUGGCUGAUGGGUGGCUGCGCUUGCAGCCCCCGCAGAGGCUGAGCGUCGGCGGGAGCCGCUCGGGCUGUUACCGUAAGUCUCAGAGGAGCGGGGCACAACGGGAAAGGUAACUAAGAGUAGGACGGGCCGGAGGGCGCCGCAACGUGGAGAGACUGCGUUCCCGGCUCUGAAGCCUGACCUUGAAGGAGUGAGGGUGCGCACGCGCCCGAGGCAAGUCAGCCUUACUGUUCUUGGAAAGAAUUAGAAGAGGAAAGAAAGGUCACUGCUUUAAAAAUAGGCAUGGAAAGAGCCAAAGGAACCCGGAUCCAGGAUGUAACUCUGCCCUGGUCUUCGGCCCUGAGGAAGGGGUCUGUACUUUCACAAGCGGCAACAGUCAGGCGAUGAUUUUCAUCUUAAAUACAGCCCAUCAGCAACUGAAGAACCACAUGACCUCCAAAAAUUGACCAGUCUUCUUUGGAUUCCUUCCUUCCAUCACAGACCUCAUUUUUCCCCCCGCAUAGGCAGCGGAAAAAAGGAAAAGCUCAUGUGCUCAGGCUCUAAGGUAAGAGCGUGACAGGCACACGUUCAUUCAUGUCUCACAGCAAUCCCUGGAGGGGAGCAUGGGUCUCCCCACUUUAUGCGUGAGGAAACUGAGGCAGAGAGAGGUUAAGCAACUGGCCUGCAGUCCCACAGGCCUGAGGUAAACGAGAGCCAAAGGAAAACCCAGGCUUGUAAAUAUGCAGUUUAACUUCCAAUAGCUAUAAAUCUACUUUCCCUAGGGAUGUAAAUUCUGAGAUCUUAUGAUCCAGCAGGAAAGGAGCAGCAAGGAGCCGGUCUACAGUGCAGUGAGGCCUGGAUUUUGAGUCCAGGAGGGAGAGAGACAGACCCCAGGGACCUUUGGGAAGGUAGAGGAUAAUCUAUAGCUGCGAUGAGAACAGAAUCCAUGGUGGAGGACUGCUCUCAAAUUUUCCCAGCCAAGAUUUCUGAUACUUCAAAGACAGUUGGUGGCAAGGUAGGAGGAUGUGCUUGGAAGACAGACAGACCUGAGCUUCAACCUCAACUCUGGCACUUACUGGCCGGUGACCUUGAGCGGACCAAAGCUUCAGGAUGUCAGAUCUAAGAAACAAGCCACCUGCCUCUCAGAGCAGAUUUAAGGAGAUACAAAAUGGAAGAGGUCUUAGCACAGUGCCUGGCCUCCAGGGGGUCCUCGAUGAGAGUAAAUUCCCUGUUGUCUCCCCCUUGGUAAUGCCCCUACUUCACCUCCUGUGUCUGUGAUUCUCCUUUCUCAAUACUGUACCCUUGGUGAGUGAGAACCAGCGGAGAAUGUCAAGUGAAAGGGCAUGGCCCAGCGAACCAAUAAUAUGCUUGUGCCCCUCUCCCUGCAUGGUGACUGACAUUUCCCAGAAAUAAAUAACUGCAUAGCAUUCAGGCUUUCAUGCAUCUGUUGAAGUUCAACAAAUAUGGCGGUAACUCCAUUCACUGGGAUCUGGGAUAGUGAGAAGAAAAUCAAGACACGUCUCGUGUGCUAAUGGAAUUGUCCCUUCAUGGUAGUUUAAAAGCAUAGGCAGAUGAUCCAUAAAUAAUAAUAAACGUAGUGGCAAUGUGGUAUAAUAUAGAAUAGGUAAGUGCACGGACUCAAGUUAGAUUGCUUGGGUUCUACUCCGGCUGUGCCGCUCACCGUGCUAGCUGUGUGAUGUUGAACAAGUCACUUAACUUCUUUAGGCCUCAGUUUCCUCCUUCGUAAAAUGGGGCCAUAUGAGGUCAAAACGAGUUGGUACGAGUUAGUACCUAUAAAGCACUUGAAAGCGUGCCUGGCAUAUAGUAAGCGUCAAUAAACAGUACUGUUAUUACGGUGGGGUGUUACUUCCCUGAAUAUGAGCCUAAGGGAGUUCUGUGAAUCUGGAAUGAAAAAGAAGAGGAGGAAGCAAGAGCCCUUUGCCUGGAGCAAGGAUACCAGUGAGUGCAACCUGCCUUCGGGGUUUCACUACUGGCUCCACGAUGAGUGGGCUUGGAGGAGUCACUGAACCUUCAGGAGCUCCUAUUUACUCGCGUGUAAAAUGGGUGUGAAUAACAGCUGCCUUACCUUCUUCUCGUAGUUAUUGCCCCAAAUAGAGCCCAAUUGCCUGUCAGUUUAGCUUUUGAUCUUUGAACUCAUAAAGGUUUUCUUCUGCUCAUUACGGGGUACGCCCUCCGGGAGGAGCCACAUUUUAAGCCAUUACCUGCUCAGUCCUUAGUGACACAUCAGCACUUUACCAGUAUCCUAGGAAUGGGUGAGAGGAGGGCUGGAGACACGACUGAGGACAGGAGGAGAGCAGGAGUUGAGAACACUUUCAAGACCCCUCACUCCCUGCACAUGGUUAACUGAGAAGCAUCCUGCCCGGUGCCUUACAGUAAUGUCACUGGUUUAAUCCCACAAGUCUUGUAAAUUGCCAAAGGAGAAUGGUCCCUGCCAGUCUCUUUUCUAUUGUGAGGGAAGAGAGGAAGUUACGGUGGUGUGGGACUUUCUCCAGUAUCUACGGGACGUGAAUAGUGUAAGCAAUGAAAGGAGGGCGCCAUGUUGGGCAAUUUUUAAUGGGACUUUGGGAGAUGGAGGGAAUGCAUUACAAAGAGUUCUCCUUUCUCCAGAGAGCUGACUUAAAGGCACAGCAAAUUUGGAAAGCAAUAUUACCUGAAUCCUCCUCACCAGCUUUUCCUCCCAGCUUCUUAUUCCUAUGCCCAGCAGAAGAUUCUGAUGCUAUUAGUCUUCCUGGUGAAGGUUCCAGGAAUCCCCAAAGGACACUUCGGUUUGACUCAAUCUAAAUAAUAUUUACUGUGAUCCUACUGUGUGCCCCACCCUGAGCUAGUCACUUGGUAACAGAGUUACUGUGACAGAGACAGCCAUCUGCCCUUCUUUCAUGAUGAAAGAGCAUCCAGACUUCAGCCGUCCACGUGGCUUUCAGGUCUAAACACCACAUUCUUCUAUCUUUCUUGCAACUAGUAGAUUUAGGACUAAAUUCAGCAGACUAAAUGUCAGCAGGAAUGUCAUAUGGCAGCGUCCUUACGAAACAAACCUAUAUGGCGAAUUAUGUAACAUCGUCACAGAACUUCAGGUUACACUAAACUUUUUUCCAGGCAGGUGGUGAACCAAAGAAAAAGUUGCUAAAGUACCACCAGCGAACUAAUGAUUUUUAUGUAUUAUACCUUAUGCCACCUAUAAGAAUUUGUUUUACCUGCGCAGUGAUAGCAUCUCAGUGAGAUAUUGUGGAGGGGUUGUGAAGAAGGCAAACGAGAAGUUUCCCGGGAGAUAGAACGACGACGAACAAGCCUUUCUCAGAAGACCAGUUGCAAAAAACAGCCAACUCUUCUGAUUCUAUUCUGUUCGCAAUUUGCUGCGAGACUUUAAGUGAGCUAUGAAACAUCUUGGACCUUAUUAAAAGGGGGUGGUAAUUUCACAUAGAGUGGGUGUUGCUAAGCCUUCUUGAUUUUAAAUCCAAACUCAGCCUCUCUCACAAAAAAAAAAAAAAAAAAAAGUGUAGCUUUUGUAAGCUGUUCCCUUACUGCUGAGGAGGUAAAAGGAUAUGUCUGAAGAGCUAUUGCAGUUAUAAAUAGAUAUUCCAUAUGCCAACUUAACAUAAAUGCCUCAAACUUUUAUUUCCUUGAUGGAGAAACAUCAGGAUCUCUGGCCUGUUUUACAUGCUUUAGCCUUGGGUGGGAAAUGCCCCGAAGUAAAAUAAGAGGCCAUUUCAGAAGUAUUCCUCCUUUCCCACACCACUUAUUAUCUCUAACAACUCAUUUUCCAUCCACCGUGUUUCCCUGUACUGGUUUUAUGGUAGGGGAGUCUCGGGCCCUCUGCUAGUCUAGCCAAUUCUUUCUGGCUCCCCAGUGAAACAUGGAGGACAAAGCUCAAAAUUAUGACAGGACUGGCCAUGUGAUGUGGCUGUUACUUUUCUGGUUUCCAUCUACCCUGCAGGUGGCAAGUUUGAAGGUUUGGGGAAAUUCCCUGACGGCUGAGAUGCACCAAUUUCCAAUGGGACCAGAUUAGCACAUUCAACUAUAAUUGCCAUCGUACUGGCAAGGUCAAUUUUCAGGCUGUGCAUGAGGAUGAGAACAGCUACCCACAGAUAUAGAUGGAGGCAAGAGAUGUUUGGCUGGUCUGACCAAUGACUACUAGGUCGAAAGCCCAAGAGCCCAGGUAAGAGUUACGUGCAACAUCUAUGGCCAAUGGCUAUACUGUAUUAAGGCCCCAGGCAGCCCAGAAAAUUGGCCAGUGGUUCAGGAAGGUGGGCUCUAGACCCGUUCUUGCCAUCCCCUGGCUGGGUGACCUUGGAUAAGUUGUUUCACUCUUAUGAGCCCUCAUCAGUGGAUAGAGUACCAAUCCUAGUUCCACCCCACACUGGGAGACCUUAGCCAACUCACAGCCUGGAGUAUCAGAGGAAG